This is a non-coding RNA of Acanthosepion pharaonis, 103 nucleotides long. The record is from the annotation of a GenBank genome assembly. NCBI's taxonomy places the organism in Eukaryota, Metazoa, Mollusca, Cephalopoda, Sepiida, Sepiidae.
UCAUAUUGAAAUACCGGUUCCCAUAAGAUUACCAAAGUUAAGCAACAUUGAGCAUUGUUAGUGCCUGAAUGGGUGGCCACUUGGAAUACCAGGUGUUGCAAGC